Molecule: ribosomal RNA, 253 nt
Filed under: uncultured bacterium
Lineage: Bacteria
Description: partial 16S ribosomal RNA
Rfam family: Bacterial small subunit ribosomal RNA
Source: RNAcentral
UACGUAGGGUGCAAGCGUUAAUCGGAAUUACUGGGCGUAAAGCGUGCGCAGGCGGUUUUGUAAGUCAGGUGUGAAAUCCCCGGGCUUAACCUGGGAACUGCAUUUGUGACUGCAUAGCUAGAGUACGGUAGAGGGGGAUGGAAUUCCGCGUGUAGCAGUGAAAUGCGUAGAUAUGCGGAGGAACACCGAUGGCGAAGGCAAGCCCCUGGACCUGUACUGACGCUCAUGCACGAAAGCGUGGGGAGCAAACAGG